GUGGUUGUAGCUCAGUGGUAGAGCACUUACCUGGCAUGUGUGAGGCACUGGGUUUGACCCUCAGCACCACA
Molecule: non-coding RNA, 71 nt
Organism: Ictidomys tridecemlineatus (thirteen-lined ground squirrel)
Lineage: Eukaryota; Metazoa; Chordata; Mammalia; Rodentia; Sciuridae
Source: Rfam